Molecule: long non-coding RNA, 271 nt
Filed under: Sus scrofa (pig)
Lineage: Eukaryota; Metazoa; Chordata; Mammalia; Artiodactyla; Suidae
Description: lncRNA (ENSSSCG00040000693.1)
Source: RNAcentral
GAGCUUUGCCUGUCUUCAGGGAUGGAGCCCCUCCCAAGGCAAGUUCAACUGGGUUCUCUGGCAGCCGAAGUCUACAUGGCCCCUGCAGGGAGUGGUGGAGAAAAGUGCCCACUUUGAGGACUUGUUGCACUAGAGCCUUUGAUCUCUGCUGUAGAAAAUGCUCUGCUCCAUUUCAGAAGAGAUUGCCAUGUGCCCCAUUAACUGGCCUUUGGAUCAAACCAGCAACAGACCUCACAGUUAGAAUUCCAGCAUUGGCCAUUCACAAAGAGGU